UUUAAACCCUAACUUUCCCCUUCUUGUUCUUGAGAUGUAUGGAAUUUCUCUCUUGUGAAGAUGAUGUCUCAAACCUAGUUUGAAUAAUCGCAUUCAUAAAAACUUACAUCUGGGGACACACUUUUGAGUGACAUACUUGUCAUUUACCUGUUUGAUAUAAACAGCCAUUUGCCUACAAUUAGAUAUCUCAAUCGUGCAUAUUUUAUUUUGAAAGGUUCUAAUUUUCCCAGUCCUACACAGCUUUUACAAUUGUGGUCAACAUACUGGUCCUAUUCAAAAUUAUUAAAUUGGUGAUUUUAGCAUUUAAUUUUAAUCUACUAAUUUACAAUUGCAAAAUAAAAUAAUAAUAAUAAUAUAAUCUGAAACAUUUGUAAAAAUAUAGCCAAGUAAGAUGGUCAAAGCACAUAGAAUUGAUGUGUUUUUUCAUAACCAUAUAUGAAUAUGUAAUGUAACUAGGGUGAAAAAGUGCCCAAGAGUUAAACUGAGUUUUAGCAUGAGGGUCUUCCAUCUUCUUUGCCCUGGUCACCUAUGUGGCCGUGUUAAAAAUAGAAACAUUUCCUCCUAUAAAUCAUUAGGUAUGACAAAUCAUUGAGGGUAAGUGCAUAAACAUGUGUGCUUUGUAAAUUUAUUACCUAAGCAUGUCCUAUAGGAGAACUGUAAAGCUUAUCCUUAGUGGAUUCAAAAAAACAGCAGCAAAACCAAAAGUAUGAGAACAAUGUAUGUUUCUAAAUUUCUUUGCUCAUUUGCAUCAUUCUCUGCCGUAAUGACUGAAGAGAUAUAUCCUGCUUCAUGAGCCAUGAUAGGAUAGAAAUUAAACAUGCAAAUGAGAGUGAGUGUGAAAAUGAAAGCCGUGUUUGGCAAUAUUUCACACCUCUUGUUCGCCAUGAUAGUAAAAGAAAUAGAUAAUGCUUGUGUUUUGUAUACCUACACCAACACCUCACACAUAUAUAGAGAGAGAAAGAGUACUGUUUGUGUCGGUUUUUACGAUGGCUGGCCUAUGCAAAGUUUCAUAGUUAUGGUUAGAGACAUGAGUGAAGUGUGGUCGUGAUGUAUAUAUAAAAUAACAAGUGGACAGUUGAGAAGAGAUAAAGAAACGAUUUUUUUGGGUAUAUUCCCGUUCUUCUUCUUCUUCUUCUUCUUUUUUUUUUUUUUUUUUUUUCCUGCUUAAGAAUUAGUAGUACCCACUAAUCUGUUGUGUUAAGAACAAAAAAGGCGAUUAAUCUUGAGCUAUUUGAAAUUUUGUUUUGGGAUUUUGUAGACUCCUCAGUCUAUUAGCUGUGGUUGUUUGAUUUGGUUCUUUAUGUUCAAUUCUUGUUUGUUCCUGAUUUUUAAUCCCAUUUUAAUUUGUCAUUUUUUAUUUUGUUCUAUAAUUUCCUUUCUCUGGUUAUUGUUUCUUGACUUUUGUUAGAAUUAGCGCUGUCCUAUGCAGUUUGUGUGUGUGUGUGUGUGUGUGUGUGUGUGUGUGUGUGUGUGUGUGUGUUGAUUGAUGUCCUUUCUUGUUUUCAGCUUUAGCUGCUUAUAUUUUUUCCACAUACUUUUCAUAAUCUUUAAGUUGUGAACAAAUUUUAUUUUAUGAGAGCAUUUCCUUUUACUUUUUUCCAUUUGCUUUAGAUUGGAUUUCCACCAAUUGUGAUGGUUUUUUAUUUCCUUGCUCUUUUAAACUUUAUGUCAACAUGUUUUUCAUUGCAAAAUUUUUCUUUUAAAAGGCUUUAUUUUAUUUUAUUUUUUUUCUGAUAUUUGCUGUUGGUGUUGUUCUUCAUUAUAAUUGAAUUUGCCAAGUAAAAUGUCCUUAUUUUUAUUAUAAAUUUAUGAAUCAUCAGUUUAGCUUUUUGCUGAAACAUUAGCUUAAAAGCAUGGCCAAUUCUAUAACACUCACAGAUCCCCUGCUUUGAUAAAAUAAAAAUACUAGUCUAUAGGCUCUGCCAAGUGUUUGGAUUGUUGUCUCUUAAGGAGAUCACCUCUGCUAUCAUUAUAUAGUAUACAAAAUUUAUUCCACAAUACAUAAUUACAUUUCUCUGAGUGACAAUUAUAUCUACUUCUGAUUCCACAAUUCUAGUCUAUAAGCUUGAUCAUCUUUUUUAGUUAAUAAUAAGAUUCUUAAUUUUUGUUUUUUUUGUUUUUUUGUUUUUUUUUUUAACAUGUCACUAGAAGUAGAGGGGUGACAGCUUCCAAUAUUAUUGCCGUAUUUAGCACUCCCUACUCGAUCUUAAUGGCAUUAAACAAUUUCUAGUAUUUUUUUUUAGUCAGUUUCUAGCAUUUUUUUUCUAGUUUUUUUCAGUCAGUCUAUAUCAUUUAAACACACAUGAACUACUAUAGUCUAUAUGCUGCAAGUUAAUCUGAUCUAAAUAGUAUCCUAGCACUUGGGUUUCUAGUUGCCUACAGUAGUUAUAUAUUAUACAUUGCAUACAUCAAAAUCCUGGAGUUGCAUCAAAGAGAAUUUAGAAUUAGUUCUGAUAGUGAAUAAUUACAAUUGGUUUAGUAUUGAUUAGUCAAGAAGAUUCUUUGAUGGGAUCUGAAGUAGUUUCUGGUUCAUCUCGCCGGUGCUAUGGUGAUGAGAAGGCUGAAAGUACUGUGAAUUUUUUAGUUGUAAGAAAAAGAAUAAACAAAUGUCUGAACAUAUAAUAAGCUGCAUAAAGUCUGAGCUGGGGAAGCCUGAGUUACAUAGUUUUUGACGAAGGUUUGUGUCAAUGGCUUCUUGGUUAUGAUGUUUACUCAUGUAUGAAACAUGGCAAUGCUUAUUUAAACAAAACCGAAAUGGAAUUCAAUAAAAAACUGUAAUCUAAUUAGCUCAUUAGAACUAUCCAAUAGUUAUAUUAUAUAUAUAUAUAUAUAUAUAUAUAUAUAUAUAUAUGGUGUGUGUGUGUUUACAAUUUAAGAGCUACUAUAUACCUUCUUAUUCCCUUGUUUAAGGAACAAAGCCAACAAAAUGAAGUAAAUCGCUCUAAGCAAACAAUGUUGCACACAACUAGGAUAAUGAGUUACGCGCGGAAGGCUAAAAAGGUUAAGCACGAUUUUUUAUGAAGUUAAUCACUUGUAUGUGACACAAUUUAUUAUACAUCAUUGCGGUAUAAUUAUAGUAAGUUAUAUAUAUUAAAAAAAAAAAAAAAACAGAUGAAGUUGGGAUCAGGGAAGGCGCUAACUCGUGCUCAACUAUUUUGCGCAACACAUAAGAGCAAGAAAGAUGGCAAAGCUAGUGAUGAACAUGCUGCCAAAAUGAUUGCAGACACAACUAGAAGAGCUUGCUGCAACUCAGCCUUCUAAGCCAGAUGAACCUUCACCCCAUGAUUUUUAUGCCCAAGUUAGGGGAGAAGAAAGAAGGGGCUGUGUUCGGAUGUAUGGCUUGGGACCUACAUCUACUAGUCUUUAGGGGCCAUCUCCUAGUAAAGCAGACCUGAUAAGGAGGACCUCACAAGCAGAGGAGACCCGUGUUACUCAUGCAGAAAUGAAGGAGACAGUGGAAAAGAUGCGUGUUCAGUAUGAUGAAAAAUAUAAAGCUUUGAAUGCAAAAAUGGCUAUGAUUUUGCGUCACAUUUAAAAUCAAAAUUCUAAUGUACAAGUACCCGGCUCCUCAACUACACUUGGUGAUCCUUAAAUUUUAGUUUUGGUCAUGAAAUUUCGUCCUUGGGCAAUUUGAAGCAAGACGAGAUAUGAAGUUAAACCAUUAAUUCUCAAGACCCUUACAUAGUCUCACUCAAAUUCUCAAUGAAAUGUUGAUGUUUUAUUUUGAAUGAUUUCCUUUUGAAGCUUUAUUACAUUUGUGGUGUUUCCUUUUGAACCUUUUAUUAGCACUUCACAUUUUGAAACAAAACUUAUAUGUUAUGGGAUGUUAUUGAAUUUUAAUGCAACUUUGUUCUA
Cornus florida is the source of this 3855-nucleotide long non-coding RNA. RefSeq lists it as uncharacterized. The record is from RefSeq and is a predicted model, not a curated record. The transcript has 4 exons. NCBI's taxonomy places the organism in Eukaryota, Viridiplantae, Streptophyta, Magnoliopsida, Cornales, Cornaceae.